RNAcentral lists this ribosomal RNA (253 nucleotides) under uncultured bacterium. Its description in RNAcentral is "partial 16S ribosomal RNA". It matches the Rfam family "Bacterial small subunit ribosomal RNA", at positions 524 to 776 of the family's 1533-position model. The record is from RNAcentral.
UACAGAGGUCUCAAGCGUUGUUCGGAUUCAUUGGGCGUAAAGGGUGCGUAGGCGGUGUCGUAAGUCGGAUGUGAAAUCCCGGGGCUUAACUUCGGAACUGCAUUCGAUACUGCGAUACUCGAGGACUCGAGAGGAGAUUGGAAUUCACGGUGUAGCAGUGAAAUGCGUAGAUAUCGUGAGGAAGACCAGUGGCGAAGGCGGAUCUCUGGACAGUUCCUGACGCUGAGGCACGAAGGCCAGGGGAGCAAACGGG